GUAACAAGGUUUCCGUAGGUGAACCUGCGGAAGGAUCAUUACCUAGAGUUUGUGGACUUCGGUCUGCUACCUCUUACCCAUGUCUUUUGAGUACCUUCGUUUCCUCGGCGGGUCCGCCCGCCGGUUGGACAACAUUCAAACCCUUUGCAGUUGCAAUCAGCGUCUGAAAAAACUUAAUAGUUACAACUUUCAACAACGGAUCUCUUGGUUCUGGCAUCGAUGAAGAACGCAGCGAAAUGCGAUAAGUAGUGUGAAUUGCAGAAUUCAGUGAAUCAUCGAAUCUUUGAACGCACAUUGCGCCCCUUGGUAUUCCAUGGGGCAUGCCUGUUCGAGCGUCAUUUGUACCUUCAAGCUCUGCUUGGUGUUGGGUGUUUUGUCUCGCCUCCGCGCGCAGACUCGCCUUAAAACAAUUGGCAGCCGGCGUAUUGAUUUCGGAGCGCAGUACAUCUCGCGCUUUGCACUCAUAACGACGACGUCCAAAAGUACAUUUUUACACUCUUGACCUCGGAUCAGGUAGGGAUACCCGCUGAACUUAAGCAUAUC
Molecule: unclassified non-coding RNA, 543 nt
Filed under: Epicoccum nigrum
Lineage: Eukaryota; Fungi; Ascomycota; Dothideomycetes; Pleosporales; Didymellaceae
Description: sequence contains 18S rRNA gene, ITS1, 5.8S rRNA gene, ITS2, 28S rRNA gene
Rfam family: 5.8S ribosomal RNA (bases 185-338)
Source: RNAcentral